UACAGAGGUCCCGAGCGUUGUUCGGAUUUAUUGGGUUUAAAGGGUGCGUAGGCGGCUUUGUAAGUCAGUGGUGAAAUAUGGCAGCUUAACUGUCAAGGUGCCAUUGAUACUGCGGAGCUUGAGUACAGAUGAGGUAGGCGGAAUUGACGGUGUAGCGGUGAAAUGCUUAGAUAUCGUCAAGAACACCUAUAGCGAAGGCAGCUUACUAGGCUGUAACUGACGCUGAGGCACGAAAGCGUGGGGAUCAAACAGG
Molecule: ribosomal RNA, 253 nt
Filed under: uncultured bacterium
Lineage: Bacteria
Description: partial 16S ribosomal RNA
Rfam family: Bacterial small subunit ribosomal RNA
Source: RNAcentral